RNAcentral lists this ribosomal RNA (495 nucleotides) under uncultured bacterium. RNAcentral describes it as "partial 16S ribosomal RNA". It matches the Rfam family "Bacterial small subunit ribosomal RNA", at positions 29 to 506 of the family's 1533-position model. The record is from RNAcentral.
ACGAACGCUGGCGGCGUGCCUAAUACAUGCAAGUUGAGCGCUGAAGGUUGGUACUUGUACCAACUGGAUGAGCAGCGAACGGGUGAGUAACGCGUGGGGAAUCUGCCUUUGAGCGGGGGACAACAUUUGGAAACGAAUGCUAAUACCGCAUAAAAACUUUAAACACAAGUUUUAAGUUUGAAAGAUGCAAUUGCAUCACUCAAAGAUGAUCCCGCGUUGUAUUAGCUAGUUGGUGAGGUAAAGGCUCACCAAGGCGAUGAUACAUAGCCGACCUGAGAGGGUGAUCGGCCACAUUGGGACUGAGACACGGCCCAAACUCCUACGGGAGGCAGCAGUAGGGAAUCUUCGGCAAUGGACGAAAGUCUGACCGAGCAACGCCGCGUGAGUGAAGAAGGUUUUCGGAUCGUAAAACUCUGUUGGUAGAGAAGAACGUUGGUGAGAGUGGAAAGCUCAUCAAGUGACGGGAACUACCCAGAAAAGGACGGCGAACUACGU